Molecule: ribosomal RNA, 497 nt
Filed under: uncultured bacterium
Lineage: Bacteria
Description: partial 16S ribosomal RNA
Rfam family: Bacterial small subunit ribosomal RNA
Source: RNAcentral
GACGAACGCUGGCGGCGUGCCUAAUACAUGCAAGUUGAGCGCUGAAGGUUGGUACUUGUACCGACUGGAUGAGCAGCGCACGGGUGAGUAACGCGUGGGGAAUCUGCCUUUGAGCGGGGGACAACAUUUGGAAACGAAUGCUAAUACCGCAUAAAAACUUUAAACACAAGUUUUAAGUUUGAAAGAUGCAAUUGCAUCACUCAAAGAUGAUCCCGCGUUGUAUUAGCUAGUUGGUGAGGUAAAGGCUCACCAAGGCGAUGAUACAUAGCCGACCUGAGAGGGUGAGCGGCCACAUUGGGACUGGGACACGGCCCAAACUCCUACGGGAGGCAGCAGUAGGGAAUCUUCGGCAAUGGGCGAAAGUCUGACCGAGCAACGCCGCGGGAGGGAAGAAGGUUUUCGGAUCGUAAAACUCGGUUGGUAGAGAAGAACGUUGGUGAGAGUGGAAAGCUCAUCAAGUGACGGUAACUACCCAGAAAGGGACGGCUAACUACGUG